This 1358-nucleotide ribosomal RNA is filed under the name Aeropyrum camini. Its description in RNAcentral is "bacterial SSU rRNA". It matches the Rfam family "Archaeal small subunit ribosomal RNA". Lineage: Archaea; Thermoproteati; Thermoproteota; Thermoprotei; Acidilobales; Acidilobaceae. RNAcentral also lists the same sequence under 1 other name. The record is from RNAcentral.
CCGGUUGAUCCUGCCGGACCCGACCGCUAUCGGGGUAGGGCUAAGCCAUGGGAGUCGAACGCCCCGCCGCUGCGGGGCGUGGCGGACGGCUGAGUAACACGUGGCUAACCUACCCUCGGGACGGGGAUAACCCCUCGGGAAACUGGGGCUAAUCCCCGAUAGGCGGGGGGUGCCUGGAAGGGUCCUCCGCCGAAAGGGGCCGCGGGGGGUUAUCGCCCGCGGUCCGCCCGAGGAUGGGGCUGCGGCCCAUCACGGUAGUUGGCGGGGUAAUGGCCCGCCAAGCCUACGACGGGUAGGGGCCGUGAGAGCGGGAGCCCCCAGAUGGGCACUGAGACAAGGGCCCAGGCCCUACGGGGCGCACCAGGCGCGAAAACUCCGCAAUGCGGGCAACCGUGACGGGGCUACCCCGAGUGCCCCCCUUGGGGGGGCUUUUCCCCGCUGUAAGUAGGCGGGGGAAUAAGCGGGGGGCAAGACUGGUGUCAGCCGCCGCGGUAAUACCAGCCCCGCGAGCGGUCGGGGCUGUCUUACUGGGCCUAAAGCGCCCGUAGCCGGCUCGACAAGUCCCCGCCUAAAGCCCCGGGCUCAACCCGGGGAGUGGCGGGGAUACUGUCGGGCUAGGGGGCGGGAGAGGCCGAGGGUACUCCCGGGGUAGGGGCGAAAUCCAUUAAUCCCGGGAGGACCACCAGUGGCGAAGGCGCUCGGCUGGAACGCGCCCGACGGUGAGGGGCGAAAGCCGGGGGAGCGAACCGGAUUAGAUACCCGGGUAGUCCUGGCUGUAAACGAUGCGGGCUAGGUGUUGGGCGGGCGUGCGAGCCCGCCCAGUGCCGCAGGGAAGCCGUUAAGCCCGCCGCCUGGGGAGUACGGCCGCAAGGCUGAAACUUAAAGGAAUUGGCGGGGGAGCACCACAAGGGGUGGAGCCUGCGGCUUAAUUGGAGUCAACGCCGGGAACCUCCACCGGGGGCGACAGCAGGAUGACGGCCAGGCUGAAGGCCUUGCCCGACGCGCUGAGGGGAGGUGCAUGGCCGUCGCCAGCUCGUGCCGUGAGGUGUCCUGUUAAGUCAGGCAACGAGCGAGACCCCCGCCCCUAGUUGCCAUCCCCGGGGCGACCCGGGGGGCACACUAGGGGGACUGCCGCCGCUAAGGCGGAGGAAGGAGGGGGCAACGGCAGGUCAGCAUGCCCCUAAACCCCCGGGCUGCACGCGGGCUACAAUGGCGGGGACAGCGGGUGCCGACCCCGAAAGGGGGAGGCAAUCCCUCAAACCCCGCCUCAGUUGGGAUCGAGGGCUGCAACUCGCCCUCGUGAACGUGGAAUCCCUAGUAACCGCGCGUCAUCAUCGCGCGGUGAAUACGUUCCUGCU